This 800-nucleotide ribosomal RNA is filed under the name uncultured Suillus. RNAcentral describes it as "eukaryotic LSU rRNA". The stretch from base 248 to 402 matches the Rfam family "5.8S ribosomal RNA". The record is from RNAcentral. Lineage: Eukaryota; Fungi; Basidiomycota; Agaricomycetes; Boletales; Suillaceae.
GGUUCGUAGGUGACCUGCGGAAGGAUCAUUAAAGAAUAAUUCUUGAUCCGACCAAAGAAAGGAGGGAGAGUUGUAGCUGGCCCUAGGCACGUGCACGCUUUCUUUCUGGACUUUGGUCGUAUGGGCGCGGAGGGUCAACCUCUGCGUCUUCAUAUGCCCCUCUUCGUGUAGAAAGUCUUUGAAUGUUUUUACUAUCAUCGAGUCGCGACUUCUAGGAGAUGCGAUUCUUUGAGACAAAAGUUAUUACAACUUUCAGCAAUGGAUCUCUUGGCUCUCGCAUCGAUGAAGAACGCAGCGAAUAGCGAUAUGUAAUGUGAAUUGCAGAUCUACAGUGAAUCAUCGAAUCUUUGAACGCACCUUGCGCUCCUCGGUGUUCCGAGGAGCAUGCCUGUUUGAGCGUCAGUAAAUUCUCAACUCCUCUCGAUUGACUUCGAGUGGAGCUUGGAUAGUGGGGGCUGCCGGAGACCUGAAUAUUCGUGUUCGGGACUCGGGCUCCUCUGAAAUGUAUUGGCUUGCGGUCUGUUUUCGACUYUGCAUGACAAGGCUUUUGGCGUGAUAAUGAUCGCCGCUCGCCGAAGUGCAUGAAUGAAACCGUGCCGUGCCUCUAAUCCGUCGAUGCCUCUAUGGGGCGUCUUCUUUACGCAUUUGACCUCAAAUCAGGUAGGACUACCCGCUGAACUUAAGCAUAUCAAUAAGCGGAGGAAAAGAAACUAACAAGGAUUCCCCUAGUAACUGCGAGUGAACCGGGAAAAGCUCAAAUUUUGAAUUCUGGCGGUNCCUUGCGGCCGUCCGAGUGUAUC